UAUUGCAUUUCCAAUCUGGCAA
RNAcentral lists this microRNA (22 nucleotides) under Drosophila pseudoobscura. Its description in RNAcentral is "dps-miR-2567c-3p". The record is from miRBase by way of RNAcentral. Lineage: Eukaryota; Metazoa; Arthropoda; Insecta; Diptera; Drosophilidae.